GGAGGAGGCCGGAAGAGAGAUGUAUUCGUGGUUGAUUAGUUGUGUCUUUGGACAUGACGGGGAACAUCAACGAAGGGAAAGACCAGUGUUUGUGAAUACCUGGUUUAUGGCCUUGAACUAUAGGAACGAUUGGGGUUCGGGGUACUCCGGACAUCUGGUAAGAUACAGUACCUGCUGUAUGGGCUUGAGCUGGAUGACGGUGUUGAUCUUUCCGAAGGGUUCCACGGCCUUCACCACCUCAUCAUGAGCUGUGUGUUGGGGGAUAUUCUUCAGUCUUAACAGAGCGGAGGUCCCUGGUGCUCCCUUCUUCUUAGUCUAGAGAGAGAAAGAGAGCGAGACCAGACUGCUAUUGGUAGUGAGCUGUGUGUUACAGGGGAUAUUCUUUAGUGUUGGUAGAGGGGAUAUGCUUUAGUGUUGGUAGUGGGGAUAUUCUUUAGUGUUGUUAGUGGGGAUAUUCUUUAGUGUUGGUAGUGGGGAUAUUCUUUAGUGUUGGUAGUGGGGAUAUUCUUUAGUGUUGGUAGUGAGCUGUGUGUUAGAGGGGAUAUUCUUUAGUGUUGUUAGUGGGGAUAUUCUUUAGUGUUGUUAGAGGGGAUAUUCUUUAGUGUUGGUAGGGAGCUUUUGUGUAGAGGGGAUAUUCUUUAGUGUUGGUAGUGAAGUGUGUGUUGUAGGGGGAUAUUCUUUAGUGUUGUUAGUGGGGAUAUUCUUUAGUGUUGGUAGUGGGGAUAUUCUUUAGUGUUGGUAGUGGGGAUAUUCUUUAGUGUUGGUAGUGGGGAUAUUCU
This is a long non-coding RNA of Oncorhynchus tshawytscha (Chinook salmon), 779 nucleotides long. Lineage: Eukaryota; Metazoa; Chordata; Actinopteri; Salmoniformes; Salmonidae. The record is from Ensembl.